UCGCUUAGCAUGGAUGAGUGGCCGCCGAUGGCCACCGAUCUCUAUUCGAAGGAAACACUACAACAUCAGCUGCCGCUAGGCUCUGCUGGAUUAACCUUAGAUUGCUGCCUUUUGCUUUAGAUGGAGAUCAAUAGAGGAUUUUCAAAAUGUUUCACCAGAAGAGGAUUUAAAAACCCCACCAAAGGAUGGAGAUCAAUAGAGCACCCAAGAAUAGAGAGGAGCACCAUCGCCUUCGCUCGCGACGCUUGUCGCUGCAAUUUCCGAAUGACGGUGCGACGGUGAGAAAUGUUGGAGAUCUCAAAUCUGCAAGGAACCCAGAUCUGAGAUCUGGCCCGUCGUCUGCUUCUUCUUCAAUGUAGCUACUCAUUGUCGAUGAUGAUUUGUUUCGAUAGGUGGGUGUUAAUUUCUCACCGCUUCGAUCUACAAGGAACCCUUUUUCUCCUAUGUUGUCGAUACUCUUAACCCAAGUCCUUUAAAUGCCCAGCUGCUCCCACCCGGGUUGGACUUUUCCCUCUCAUUCAAACUCCCCUCCAACCUUCUCUCAUGUGAACCCUAGCCAUUAUGAGACCACUGGCGACCAACAUCAACUGAUGUGUGAUGGCAAGGACUCAGCUGGAGAUUGAGUCAUUCCAAUUCUUGAGGGAAGAAGAUGAGAACUAGAUCUCAUCUUAAGCACGGUUUGAGGUUCUACAUUCGACACUCCCGAGCCCCCGUCCUCGAAAGUCACCCUGCAUUGACUAGGUUCGUGUCAAGACGAAGAAACAAGGGAAGAAGAUGAGAAUUAUGUCAGAAUAAGAGUUUCAGAAGAAUAGACCCAACCCAGGACGGGAUUCAUCCGCAACCACAUCAGGAUUGCCUGUAGCACAGGAAACAGAGAUGGGUUCAUCUGCCUUUAAUGAUUUGCAAAGCUCUGAGAGCCUUUGAGGCUGAGUUUAACUAUUUCCUUCCUUGCAGGUCUUCGUGUACUUCAACGAAUGAAAGACAAAAGGCGGUAAAAGGGAGGACUUCAUGAGAGUUUAACUGUUCAUCGUCUUCGACGAAGAACAAAGUGACGAGAGCAGAGGAUUCAGGAACCGAUCUGGUGUUGAUGGAGAGUAAUCUCUGUUUGUUAGCUCUAGAGCUCAACGGAGGGUUGAUCUUGGUAAGAAUGUUGAUUUGCGAACUGAUCUGGUAUUGAUGGAGAUAGUCGGAGGAAGAUAGAGGAAAGAGAGAGAGGUCGGAGGGGGAAGGGAGUGCCUGUUGAGAGGAAGGGGAUGAGGAUAACAUUGGGCUUUAAAAAAAUUUUAAAUGUCAUGUGAUGUAACAUUUGUACAGGUUUUGAGGAAAUAUUAACAAUUGCUAAAGAUAAGGUAGAGUUAGACAA
This is a non-coding RNA of Nelumbo nucifera (sacred lotus), 1363 nucleotides long. The record is from RefSeq and is a predicted model, not a curated record. Lineage: Eukaryota; Viridiplantae; Streptophyta; Magnoliopsida; Proteales; Nelumbonaceae.